RNAcentral lists this ribosomal RNA (254 nucleotides) under uncultured bacterium. RNAcentral describes it as "partial 16S ribosomal RNA". It matches the Rfam family "Bacterial small subunit ribosomal RNA", at positions 524 to 776 of the family's 1533-position model. The record is from RNAcentral.
UACAGAGGUGGCAAGCGUUGUUCGGAAUUACUGGGCGUAAAGGGCGCGUAGGCGGUCUUGUAAGUCUUGUGUGAAAUCCCUUGGCUUAACUGAGGAACUGCACGAGAUACUGCAAGACUUGAGAUCGGGAGAGGGAAGCGGAAUUCCGGGUGUAGCGGUGAAAUGCGUAGAUAUCCGGAGGAACACCGGUGGCGAAGGCGGCUUCCUGGACCGACACUGACGCUGAGGCGCGAAAGACUAGGGGAGCAAACGGG